GACGAACGCUGGCGGCGUGCCUAAUACAUGCAAGUCGAACGCUUCUUUCCUCCCGAGUGCUUGCACUCAAUUGGAAAGAGGAGUGGCGGACGGGUGAGUAACACGUGGGUAACCUACCCAUCAGAGGGGGAUAACACUUGGAAACAGGUGCUAAUACCGCAUAACAGUUUAUGCCGCAUGGCAUAAGAGUGAAAGGCGCUUUCGGGUGUCGCUGAUGGAUGGACCCGCGGUGCAUUAGCUAGUUGGUGAGGUAACGGCUCACCAAGGCCACGAUGCAUAGCCGACCUGAGAGGGUGAUCGGCCACACUGGGACUGAGACACGGCCCAGACUCCUACGGGAGGCAGCAGUAGGGAAUCUUCGGCAAUGGACGAAAGUCUGACCGAGCAACGCCGCGUGAGUGAAGAAGGUUUUCGGAUCGUAAAACUCUGUUGUUAGAGAAGAACAAGGACGUUAGUAACUGAACGUCCCCUGACGGUAACUAACCAGAAAGCCACGGCUAACUACGUG
This 508-nucleotide ribosomal RNA is filed under the name uncultured bacterium. RNAcentral describes it as "partial 16S ribosomal RNA". It matches the Rfam family "Bacterial small subunit ribosomal RNA", at positions 28 to 507 of the family's 1533-position model. The record is from RNAcentral.